Non-coding RNA from Spodoptera litura, 68 nucleotides. Lineage: Eukaryota; Metazoa; Arthropoda; Insecta; Lepidoptera; Noctuidae. The record is from the annotation of a RefSeq genome assembly.
CAAAUUAGAGCUUGUUUUAAAGUAUUUUCUUUACCUUGAAAAGAAAUUAAUAUGAUUAAUUAAUUUGA